AACGAACGCUGGCGGCGUGCCUAACACAUGCAAGUCGUGCGAGAAAGUUCCUUCGGGAGCGAGUAAAGCGGCGCACGGGUGAGUAACACGUAGGUAACCUGCCCCCCAGUCUGGAACAACUAGAGGAAACUCUAGCUAAUGCCGGAUGAGACCACGAUCCCUUCGGGGGUUGCGGCCAAAGAUGGCCUCUACUUGUAAGCUAUCGCUGAGGGAUGGGGCCUGCGGGCCAUUAGCUUGUUGGUGAGGUAACGGCUCACCAAGGCUGUGAUGGCUAGCUGGUCUGAGAGGAUGACCAGCCACACUGGGACUGAGACACGGCCCAGACUCCUACGGGAGGCAGCAGUGGGGAAUAUUGGACAAUGGGGGCAACCCUGAUCCAGCGAUGCCGCGUGUGUGAAGAAGGCCUGAGGGUUGUAAAGCACUUUAGUUGGGGAGGAAGAAUCUAGAUAUGAAUAAGAUUUAGAAGUGACGUUACCCAAGAAUAAGCACCGGCUAACU
Molecule: ribosomal RNA, 498 nt
Filed under: uncultured bacterium
Lineage: Bacteria
Description: bacterial SSU rRNA
Rfam family: Bacterial small subunit ribosomal RNA
Source: RNAcentral